This is a long non-coding RNA of Heterocephalus glaber (naked mole-rat), 1413 nucleotides long. The record is from Ensembl. Lineage: Eukaryota; Metazoa; Chordata; Mammalia; Rodentia; Bathyergidae.
CGUGGCACACUUCCUUCAGACGUAAUAACAGCUAUUCAGCUGCAUAAUUGACCUAACAAAGAGCAUUCAUUCUGGCUGCCAGCCAGCUAUUGGCUAGAGCUGUGGGCCCUCCUCACCCACAUGUAGGCUGGAGCCCUCCUGGUCUGCCCUGGGAAGUGACCUGGCUUGUCCUGUCCCCUGAGGUCUCCUGAUAAAAUCCAUGCAUGUGCAGCUGAGCCCAGGCAGGGCAUGCUGCAGACACACGCUGAGGGGCUCAGAACCCAGAAGGCCACACUUGAUUUUCCUGGACUUUCUCAACUUGGCCCACAGCUGGGAAGAACUUCCCUGCAUCUCGAAGCCAGCCAGAGAGAUGUGAAACACAGGCAGGCAUAUAUGUCUGAUAUGCCAAGAAAGAAGGCAGCGACAGAAGACCACAAGCUGUGCUGAUAAGGAACCAGAAGAAUAAAGGGCUAGAGAGACCUACAAAUGAGUUUACUUCUCCUAACAGGAAGCCGUGCGCAACAAUAGCCAAAGGAUCUUUGCUGUAACCAAAAGAUUGUAUUACAAGAAAAUUAAGCCAAAUUGCAAAUGUCUUAGGCAAGAGGAGAGCCCAUGUUCUCACCCACAUCCUUCCUCUGAAGAAUUCGAACUCUGUGGCCCACCUGCCUGCUGUGGGCAAGAUCUCACCACCAGAAGUGAGCCCCCAGGGGCCACAUUGUUCUCGGCCAGCUUUGAAGAUGAGGAUCCUCUGGGUAUGCCUGAAAGCUCAGAUCCCAGAAGACCCAAAACUCCCCGAAAUGCUUAUCUGCAACAAGCAGCUUCACCUCUCUGAGCUCAUUUCUUCACCUGAAAAAUGCAGAAUGAAUAACUCUUUCUUCCCAGACACAAAUCUGUGGUUUGAUGGCACUUGGGAAUUUUCACAUCAAGGGAAGUUUGGGGGUAAAAAUUAAUGAUUCAGUGACCCCUGAGUUUUUGAUUUCACAGGAAGGAAUACGGAAUAUAAGAUUGUCAAUAUAGUCACACCCCUGAUCCACAGUUAAACUUUCUGACAUUUCAUUUUCCCUCAGUCAGGCAUGGUCUGAAAACUUUACAUGGAAAAUUCCACAAAUAAGUGAUUCAUACAUUCUAUACAACCCUUAUUACAUUACAUUGUUAUAAUUGUUUUACAUUAUUAUUAGUUGCUGUUAACCUCUUCCUGUGCCUAAUUUAUAAAUGAAUCUUUAUCAUAGAUAUGAAUAUAGGAAAAAAACGUGUUAUAUAGGGUCCACAGGGUCUAUCCACAGUUUCAGGCAUUUCUGCAAGGCUUGGAAUGCAUCUCCAAGAAUAAGAACUGUGGCAUCCUGCAGGGAUGAGUGGACUCUAGCCACAACCAGGACCUGACCAGAGGCACAGCCACCCCACUGACCCCUUGGUGACAUUGGAAGAUCCCACGCC